CCUACGGGUGGCAGCAGUGAGGAAUAUUGGUCAAUGGACGAGAGUCUGAACCAGCCAAGUAGCGUGAAGGAUGACUGCCCUAUGGGUUGUAAACUUCUUUUAUAUGGGAAUAAAAUGUUCCACGUGUGGGAUUUUGUAUGUACCAUAUGAAUAAGGAUCGGCUAACUCCGUGCCAGCAGCCGCGGUAAUACGGAGGAUCCGAGCGUUAUUCGGAUUUAUUGGGUUUAAAGGGAGCGUAGGUGGAUUGUUAAGUCAGUUGUGAAAGUUUGCGGCUCAACCGUAAAAUUGCAGUUGAAACUGGCAGUCUUGAGUACAGUAGAGGUGGGCGGAAUUCGUGGUGUAGCGGUGAAAUGCUCAGAUAUCACGAAGAACUCCGAUUGCGAAGGCAGUUCACUGGACUGCAACUGACACUGAGGCUCGAAAGUGUGGGUAUCAAACAGGAUUAGAUACCCGAGUAGUC
Molecule: ribosomal RNA, 460 nt
Filed under: uncultured bacterium
Lineage: Bacteria
Description: partial 16S ribosomal RNA
Rfam family: Bacterial small subunit ribosomal RNA
Source: RNAcentral